This 328-nucleotide ribosomal RNA is filed under the name uncultured eukaryote. RNAcentral describes it as "partial 18S ribosomal RNA". It matches the Rfam family "Eukaryotic small subunit ribosomal RNA", at positions 1470 to 1796 of the family's 1831-position model. The record is from RNAcentral.
CCCUUAGAUGUCCGGGGCUGCACGCGCGCUACACUGAAGGAAUCAGCGUGCUAAAACCAUUGUCGAAAGGCAUUGGUAAACCCAUUAAAAUCCUACGUGAUUGGGAUCGGGAAUUGCAAUUAUUUCCCUUGAACGAGGAAUUCCCAGUAAGUGUGGGUCAUAAGCUCGCGUUGAUUACGUCCCUGCCCCUUGUACACACCGCCCGUCGCUGCCCGGGACUGAGCCGUUUCGAGAAAAGCGGGGACUGCUGCUGUCGGGGCUUUCGGGCCUUGGCUUCGGUGGAAACCGCUUUAAUCGCAGUGGCUUGAACCGGGCAAAAGUCGUAACA